CUUGAAUAUCUAUAAGAGGUCCAGCCUGCCCAGUGACUUUGUUCAACGGCCGCGGUAUCCUAACCGUGCGAAGGUAGCGUAAUCACUUGUCUUUUAAAUAGGGACUUGUAUGAAUGGCAUCACGAGGGUUAUACUGUCUCCUUUUUCUAAUCAGUGAAACUAAUCUUCCCGUGAAGAAGCGGGAAUAAACAUAUAAGACGAGAAGACCCUAUGGAGCUUUAAACUCAAUAACAAAUACUAACCUUACAUCAACUUUCAGAAGAUCAACCUUAAUUUUAGUAUUAUGAUUAUUAGUUUUAGGUUGGGGUGACCGCGGAGUAAAAAUUAACCUCCACAUUGAACGGGACCUGUCCCUGAGCCAAGAACUACAGCUCGAAGCACCAACAAAUUGACAUUAAUUGACCCAAUAUUUUGAUCAACGAAC
This 424-nucleotide ribosomal RNA is filed under the name Osteocephalus taurinus group sp. ABGD cluster 12. RNAcentral describes it as "partial large subunit ribosomal RNA". It matches the Rfam family "Bacterial large subunit ribosomal RNA", at positions 1834 to 2439 of the family's 2925-position model. The record is from RNAcentral. Lineage: Eukaryota; Metazoa; Chordata; Amphibia; Anura; Hylidae.